GUCAGGGUGGUGUGAAAAUCACGUUCGUGCCAGCGAGCAGAUCCGCCAUACCGUGAAACGGAAAAAGGAUCGGUCGAAGACGAUAUUUCCGAGUAACUCGUUCGCUGACACCCACAUACGGACGCUUGAAUUUCAAUAGGAAUCCGUCGUCCAUAUUAUUGAAAUUUUUUUUUAGUUAACUCGUCAUUGGAAAAAUCGUGGAAAAUCGUGGAAUUUUUAAGACAAUCCACAAAUUCGAUACAUUUUUAACCCUUUAAUCGGAGACGACAAAUUAUUUUAUUAGGUAACAUUUGACUGAAUGCACUUUUGAAUGUUAGAUUCUAUGCAAAAUCUAAGUCACCCUAAGUGCCUCACGAGCUUGUUGGGUCAAUGGAAAACUACUUGUUCAAAUCAAGACAAGACAAUAGAGUCGUUAAUCCAGCAAGAUAUUGUACUCGAAAUUAUAUCACUGAUAUUGAUAUAAAUUGUAGCAGAACUUACAAGAUGCUAAUCAAGAGAAAAAAACAAAGUAUCAAUAAAUACCUGGCGAAAACAAAUUUUAACUUGAUGACCUGAAGGACGAGUAAUAAAACUUAUUUGAUACCUUCAUAGUUUUUCCUAAUAUUUUUCUAAGCAUCCUACUUUCUUAUUUUAUUUCUAAAUAAAUUAGACUUCCAAUUUUCUAAAUAUCAUAUUCACUUAACUUUAUUUAUCAAAUUAAUUUUAAUUAAUUCCAAGUUCCA
This is a non-coding RNA of Osmia lignaria (orchard mason bee), 722 nucleotides long. Lineage: Eukaryota; Metazoa; Arthropoda; Insecta; Hymenoptera; Megachilidae. The record is from RefSeq and is a predicted model, not a curated record.